UCCCCCGUCAUUUUGUUUCUCGUUUCCUCCAAUUUCCCGAUUCAGCAUCCUACUCGUCCUCCUCCUGCCUCAGCCUCAGCCUCGGCGUUUCUCAGCUCAGCUGGGUUUCCGGCGAGAUGUUUCGACUCGAUUUUAUUUUUCGGAGGGAUAGAGAGAUGCAGCAGAGGAAAUUGGGGAGCCCUUCUGGAACUGAUGGUUCUGAUUUCUCCUAUCACAUGGUUGUUGAUUCUAGGUAUACAAAAGUAGCCAAGGGAAAGUCUCAUGAUCUCAUCUCUUUUCACUGAUCUUAAUCCAGGUGAUCCAGAACCAUCUGAAUGGAAGGCAAAGAAAUUUGAAGUUAUUGAGAUAGCUUGUAUUUUGGUUGGUUGGAUUGCUGGUGCAGAUAUUCACGAUCAGCAUCACAGAAAGCUUCGUAGUGACCGUUUUUCAGUAUUACCUCUUGCGAGAAGUCCUAAAAGGGGAAAUCCAUCUUUUUCUUUCCCCCUCUCUAUUUUCACUUGCUUUAUGUUGUGCAUCUUUGAGUUAUAUGAAAUUAUUAAUACACAAACUUCUGCUAGUUAUUUUUUUUAGCUUAUAGAGAACUCACAAUCUGUAACCCAAGUAAUAUUGGGCUAUCGGGAAUGGAUCGGGUAUUUGAGUGGCAUAAUGACAUCAAUGUCGGAACAUGGAAGCCCCGAACUUGGUUUUCUCUUGCACUUCAGAAUAAUAUCCCUAAUUCUAACCUCUGUUUUUGAAGUUGUCAUUAUUCGUAUGCUCGUUGGAGGCGAAAUUGAAAUGUGUCUAAUAAUUGAAGCUGCAGAGCCAAUGGGUGUCUUUUGAUAAUGUUGUCAAAAUCUCCCUUUCAUUCUGAAUGGAUGAGAUGAUUCAAGGGCUUGGUCUGAAUGAGCGGAAGACCAUGUGCCACAAAUAUUCUGUGGGACUGUGUUAAGUGUUAACUACUGUUUUUAGGAUAGACAAUGAAAGUGCUUGUAUCCGUGAACUUUAUCAUGACUGGAACUGAUGAUUGUAGUGAAUUUCAGCCGGUUAAUCAUAAGCAGGUUGUGACACAGAGUUCACGAGAACACUGCAUGUGCUUCAGUUUUCAA
Molecule: long non-coding RNA, 1085 nt
Organism: Tripterygium wilfordii
Lineage: Eukaryota; Viridiplantae; Streptophyta; Magnoliopsida; Celastrales; Celastraceae
Exons: 5
Source: RefSeq, a predicted model, not a curated record